RNAcentral lists this ribosomal RNA (484 nucleotides) under uncultured bacterium. Its description in RNAcentral is "partial 16S ribosomal RNA". It matches the Rfam family "Bacterial small subunit ribosomal RNA", at positions 30 to 507 of the family's 1533-position model. The record is from RNAcentral.
AUUGAACGCUGGCGGCAGGCCUAACACAUGCAAGUCGAGCGGAUGAAGGGAGCUUGCUCCUGGAUUCAGCGGCGGACGGGUGAGUAAUGCCUAGGAAUCUGCCUGGUAGUGGGGGAUAACGUCCGGAAACGGGCGCUAAUACCGCAUACGUCCUGAGGGAGAAAGUGGGGGAUCUUCGGACCUCACGCUAUCAGAUGAGCCUAGGUCGGAUUAGCUAGUUGGUGGGGUAAAGGCCUACCAAGGCGACGAUCCGUAACUGGUCUGAGAGGAUGAUCAGUCACACUGGAACUGAGACACGGUACAGACUCCUACGGGAGGCAGCAGUGGGGAAUAUUGGACAAUGGGCGAAAGCCUGAUCCAGCCAUGCCGCGUGUGUGAAGAAGGUCUUCGGAUUGUAAAGCACCUUAAGUUGGGAGGAAGGGCAGUAAGUUAAUACCUUGCUGUUUUGACGUUACCAACAGAAUAAGCACCGGCUAACUUCGUG